This 748-nucleotide long non-coding RNA is filed under the name Homo sapiens (human). RNAcentral's name for it is "HSALNT0074411". The record is from RNAcentral. Lineage: Eukaryota; Metazoa; Chordata; Mammalia; Primates; Hominidae.
GUACUGUUUUUAACUGUUGGGUCUGUAACACAGAGGGCUGAGUUGUAGUAUUAAUCAGUUGACUUCCUGGGGUCAAUGCUGAGACACCAAUGACAGGUUUCACCUCUGGCCUCCCUCCAAUGGUAACUACUUUAAUUUGCUGCGGUGGUAACUUAGCAUCUCCUGACUGGGCCUGAGUUGUAACUUUCUGAGCCUGGGGUAGUUGGCUAUGGGGUAGUGCUAAAACAAUUGGUGAACCAGACUUGCCCAAAGUUGUUAAAAUUAACUUCUGUCCAUCUGGUUUAAGGGUCUGAUUGCCAAGUUUAAGAUCAGAUGUCUGUGAUACUUUGUUUAAAAUAAUCUGAUUGGCUGAUAUAGUCACAGGAGUCUGAGCACCAAGUUUUUGAAGGCCACUUGGAAAAGCUGGUUUCACUGUGGUAUUAGAAUCUGCUUUAGUAAUUGUGGUAUUCACUGCAACUUGGUUAGUGUGGUUACUGUACACUGUGAUUGGUUCCGUGGAAAUGGGCGUGGCUGUAGAGUCACCAGUAGAAUUUAUGUUGACAAUUUCUUCCAGUUCUGUCUCCAUGGGAAUUGGGGAUGAAACAAUAACAGCCUCAAUACUAUCAUCAUCCACUAAAGUUAUACCAGUGUCCAUUAUUUCCUCUGGAAGCAAACUAUUCACCUCAGCUGGCACCACCUCCAUGAUCGUUCUCCCGCUAGAAAGUUGAUCAGGGUUUGUUCAAAAUCACGCGCCCAGCCCCAUUCCACC